Molecule: ribosomal RNA, 253 nt
Filed under: uncultured bacterium
Lineage: Bacteria
Description: partial 16S ribosomal RNA
Rfam family: Bacterial small subunit ribosomal RNA
Source: RNAcentral
UACGUAGGGUGCGAGCGUUAAUCGGAAUUACUGGGCGUAAAGCGUGCGCAGGCGGUUUCGUAAGUCAGAUGUGAAAGCCCCGGGCUUAACCUGGGAACUGCGUUUGAAACUGCGAGGCUAGAGUCUGUCAGAGGGGGGUGGAAUUCCACGUGUAGCAGUGAAAUGCGUAGAGAUGUGGAGGAACACCGAUGGCGAAGGCAGCCCCCUGGGAUAAGACUGACGCUCAUGCACGAAAGCGUGGGGAGCAAACAGG